CCGGCGACCGGCGCACGGGUGAGUAACACGUAUGCAACCUGGCCGUGACAGAUGGAUAACCGGGAGAAAUCCCGCCUAAUACAACAUAAUGCCGGGAGGGGACAUCCCCUGCCGGUCAAAGGGGGCGACCCCGGUCAUGGAUGGGCAUGCGGCGCAUUAGGUAGUUGGUGGGGCAACGGCCCACCAAGCCGACGAUGCGUAGGGGUUCUGAGAGGAAGGUCCCCCACACUGGUACUGAGACACGGACCAGACUCCUACGGAAGGCAGCAG
RNAcentral lists this ribosomal RNA (270 nucleotides) under uncultured bacterium. RNAcentral describes it as "partial 16S ribosomal RNA". It matches the Rfam family "Bacterial small subunit ribosomal RNA", at positions 88 to 354 of the family's 1533-position model. The record is from RNAcentral.